RNAcentral lists this ribosomal RNA (503 nucleotides) under uncultured bacterium. Its description in RNAcentral is "partial 16S ribosomal RNA". It matches the Rfam family "Bacterial small subunit ribosomal RNA", at positions 30 to 523 of the family's 1533-position model. The record is from RNAcentral.
AUUGAACGCUGGCGGCAGGCUUAACACAUGCAAGUCGAGCGGGGUGAUGGUGCUUGCACUAUCACUUAGCGGCGGACGGGUGAGUAAUGCUUAGGAAUCUGCCUAUUAGUGGGGGACAACAUCUCGAGAGGGAUGCUAAUACCGCAUACGUCCUACGGGAGAAAGCAGGGGAUCACUUGUGACCUUGCGCUAAUAGAUGAGCCUAAGUCGGAUUAGCUAGUGGGUGGGGUAAAGGCCUACCAAGGCGACGAUCUGUAGCGGGUCUGAGAGGAUGAUCCGCCACACUGGGACUGAGACACGGCCCAGACUCCUACGGGAGGCAGCAGUGGGGAAUAUUGGACAAUGGGGGGAACCCUGAUCCAGCCAUGCCGCGUGUGUGAAGAAGGCCUUAUGGUUGUAAAGCACUUUAAGCGAGGAGGAGGCUCUUUUGGUUAAUACCCAAGAUGAGUGGACGUUACUCGCAGAAUAAGCACCGGCUAACUCUGUGCCAGCAGCCGCUGUAA